GAUGAACGCUGGCGGCGUGCCUAAUACAUGCAAGUCGAGCGAACAGACGAGAAGCUUGCUUCUCUGAUGUUAGCGGCGGACGGGUGAGUAACACGUGGAUAACCUACCUAUAAGACUGGGAUAACUUCGGGAAACCGGAGCUAAUACCGGAUAAUAUUUUGAACCGCAUGGUUCAAAAGUGAAAGACGGUUUUGCUGUCACUUAUAGAUGGAUCCGCGCUGCAUUAGCUAGUUGGUAAGGUAACGGCUUACCAAGGCAACGAUGCAUAGCCGACCUGAGAGGGUGAUCGGCCACACUGGAACUGAGACACGGUCCAGACUCCUACGGGAGGCAGCAGUAGGGAAUCUUCCGCAAUGGGCGAAAGCCUGACGGAGCAACGCCGCGUGAGUGAUGAAGGUCUUCGGAUCGUAAAACUCUGUUAUUAGGGAAGAACAUAUGUGUAAGUAACUGUGCACGUCUUGACGGUACCUAAUCAGAAAGCCACGGCUAACUACGUG
This 497-nucleotide ribosomal RNA is filed under the name uncultured bacterium. RNAcentral describes it as "partial 16S ribosomal RNA". It matches the Rfam family "Bacterial small subunit ribosomal RNA", at positions 28 to 507 of the family's 1533-position model. The record is from RNAcentral.